Molecule: ribosomal RNA, 585 nt
Filed under: uncultured Arthrobacter sp.
Lineage: Bacteria; Bacillati; Actinomycetota; Actinomycetes; Micrococcales; Micrococcaceae
Description: bacterial SSU rRNA
Rfam family: Bacterial small subunit ribosomal RNA
Source: RNAcentral
CUUUCAGCUUGUUGGUGAGGUAAUGGCUCACCAAGGCGACGACGGGUAGCCGGCCUGAGAGGGUGACCGGCCACACUGGGACUGAGACACGGCCCAGACUCCUACGGGAGGCAGCAGUGGGGAAUAUUGCACAAUGGGCGAAAGCCUGAUGCAGCGACGCCGCGUGAGGGAUGACGGCCUUCGGGUUGUAAACCUCUUUCAGUAGGGAAGAAGCGAAAGUGACGGUACCUGCAGAAGAAGCGCCGGCUAACUACGUGCCAGCAGCCGCGGUAAUACGUAGGGCGCAAGCGUUAUCCGGAUUUAUUGGGCGUAAAGAGCUCGUAGGCGGUUUGUCGCGUCUGCCGUGAAAGUCCGAGGCUCAACCUCGGAUCUGCGGUGGGUACGGGCAGACUAGAGUGAUGUAGGGGAGACUGGAAUUCCUGGUGUAGCGGUGAAAUGCGCAGAUAUCAGGAGGAACACCGAUGGCGAAGGCAGGUCUCUGGGCAUCUACUGACGCUGAGGAGCGAAAGCAUGGGGAGCGAACAGGAUUAGAUACCCUGGUAGUCCAUGCCGUAAACGUUGGGCACUAGGUGUGGGGAACAUUCC